This 259-nucleotide unclassified non-coding RNA is filed under the name Talaromyces trachyspermus. Its description in RNAcentral is "partial internal transcribed spacer region". The stretch from base 1 to 46 matches the Rfam family "Eukaryotic small subunit ribosomal RNA", at positions 1786 to 1831 of the family's 1831-position model. Lineage: Eukaryota; Fungi; Ascomycota; Eurotiomycetes; Eurotiales; Trichocomaceae. RNAcentral also lists the same sequence under 1 other name. The record is from RNAcentral.
AAGUCGUAACAAGGUUUCCGUAGGUGAACCUGCGGAAGGAUCAUUACCGAGUGCGGGCCCGCUCCGGGCCCAACCUCCCACCCGUGUCUCUUGCGUACUUUGUUGCUUUGGCGGGCCCACCGGGUCACUCCGGUCGCCGGGGGGCGCUAUGCUCCCGGGCCCGUGCCCGCCAGAGCACCCCUGUGAACCCUGAUGAAGAGAGGCUGUCUGAGUCCCACGAUAAUCGUUAAAACUUUCAACAAUGGAUCUCUUGGUUCCG